GUCUACGGCCAUACCACCCUGAACGCGCCCGAUCUCCUCUGAUCUCGGAAGCUAAGCAGGGUCGGGCCUGGUUAGUACUUGGAUGGGAAACCUACAAACAAGGAAGCUAUUGUAGACU
This 118-nucleotide ribosomal RNA is filed under the name Neogale vison (American mink). Lineage: Eukaryota; Metazoa; Chordata; Mammalia; Carnivora; Mustelidae. The record is from RNAcentral.